UCCUGUCUUGUAAUUUCAUCAUCCUGUUCUUCAGGCGGGCUCCUGACUUUUAAUUUCAUCACCCUAUUCUUCAGGUGGGCUCCUGUCGUGCAAUUUCAUCACUUUGUUCUUCAGGCGAGCUCCUGACUUUCAAUUUCAUCACCCUAUUCUUCAAGCGGGUUCCUGAAACUAAAAUCAAAACUAGAACGAAAAUUAAUCAAAAUCAAAACAAGAACUAAAACUAUCCCACACAAAGAUUAUCAUAAGGCAGUAUUUCAUUUUGAAAGCGUGGUCCCAUAUUUCAGGAGGGACCCGAGGAGGGUCCUGAACAGAAAGUAAAAUCUCAUUUUUCGGGAGGUUCCUGGACAGAAAGUAAAAUCCCAUUUUUUAGGAAGGUCCUGAACAGAAAGUAAAAUCCCAUUUUUCAGGAGGGUCCUGAACAUAAAGUAAAAUUUUAUUUUUCAGAAGGGUCCUGAACAGAAAGUAAAAUCUCAUUUUUCAGGAGGGUCUUGAAUAUAAAGUGAAAUCUCAUUUUUCAGAAGGGUCCUGAACAGAAAGUAAAAUCUCAUUUUUCAGGAGGGUCCUGAACAUAAAGUAAAAUUCCAUUUUUCAGAAGGGUCCUGAACCCCUCCUGAACAGAAAGUAAAAUCCCAUUUUUCAUGAGGGUCCUAAACAUAAAGUGAAAUUCUAUUUUUCAGGAGGGUCCUGAACAUAAAGUGAAAUAUGAUUUUUCAGGAGGGUCCUGAACAGAAAGUAAAAUCCCAUUUUCCAGGAGGGUCCUGAACAGAAAUUAAAAUUUUAUUUUUCAGGAGGGUCCUGAACAUAAAGUGAAAUCUCAUUUUUAGGAGGGUCCUGAACAGAAGGUAAAAUUCUAUUUUUCAGGAGGGUCCUGAAUAGACAGUAAAUUUUAUUUUUCAGGAGGGUCCUCAACAACAGUAAAAUCUCAUUUUUCAGGAGAGUCCUGAACAGAAAGUAAAAUUCUAUUUUUCAAGAGGGUCCUGAACAUAAAGUGAAAUCUCAUUUUUCAGGAGGUCCUGAACAGAAAGUGAAAUCCCAUUUUUCAGGAGGGUCCUGAACAGAAGGUAAAAUCUCAUUUUUCAUGAGGGUCCUGAACAUAAAGUAAAAUCUCAUUUUUCAGGAAGGUCCUGAGCAAAAAGUAAAAUCUCAUUUUUCAGAAGGGUCCUAAACAUAAAGUGAAUUCCCAUUUUCCAGGAGGGUCCUGAAUAGAAAGUAAAUUCUAUUUUUUAGGAGGGUCCUGAACAUAAAGUGAAAUCUCAUUUUUCAGGAGAGUCCUGAACAGAAAGUAAAAUCUCAUUUUUCAGGAGGGUUCUGAACAUAAAGUAAAAUCCCAUUUUUCAGGAAGAUUUUGAACAUAAAGUGAAAUCCCAUUUUUUAGGAGGGUCCUGAACAUAUAGUGAAAUACUAUUUUUCAGGAGGGUCCUGAACAGAAAGUAAAAUCCCAUUUUUCAGGAGGGUCCUGAACAUAAGUGAAAUCCCAUUUUUCAGGAGGGCCCUGAACAGAAAGUAAAAUCCCCUUUUCCAGGAGGGUUUUGAACAUAAAGUAAAAUCUUAUUUUUCAGGAGGGUCCUGAACAUGAAAGUAAAAUCCAUGGAUGUGCAUUUCUAAUAGUAGUUGAAUUAAGUGAAGCGAAUUUACUUCUGUUUUAACAAAAAAAAUUGUCAGUUACAAACUUUGUGUGGUUUGCAGCACUUGGCUUUCCUGACACCAGUUGCUAUGUUCAUUCCCUUCAUUUUGUUUUAGAUUGCUGGCACUUGCCCCUACUUUAUCAUGGUAAUGACUCUGAAACAAACACAGUAUCUCUGCUUCGCCAUGCUCCUCAGAUAAACCCUUUGAACCUCGGUAUUUACAUGAGUUCCCAAACUUAUCUAUUGACAAAACUUUUUGCAUGCCUUGUUCUGGCUUUCAAUCUUAUUUCUUUCAUGUGCUGGCCCUUUUUCUUGCUUUGUGCAAUUGAAGAAGCUGGUAGCCAAUUUUGAAAUCUUUUCACACUUGUUUUGACAUGGACUUGACUCAAAGACAAGAGAAAAAUGACAACAAUUUUUGUUUUAUUUGGAUAACUAACUCAACGAUAUAAAAAUAUAACUAAAGAGAAGAAAGAAACAACAAUGAAUGUCCCCGUUGAAAAAGAUGAAAGAAAAGUUUAUUUGAAAAUGACAGUCAACUCUAAUGAUUAUGAUAUACAUAUCGAAUUAAACUUCCUGAUCUUUAUAUCCAAAACUUUCUACCAAUUGUUGUUGAGUUAAUGACCUCGAAAUUGAGUUGCUUCCUUAGGCCAAUUGCAUUUAAGACCUUAUUCAGCUAGUGGCCCCUUGAAUGGAUUUUGCCAACAAGUCUCUCUCAUUUUCUUUUUCACAGCUCACUAUUGCCCUGUGGUGUCCGUGAGGGCUUUUCACCAAUGAAACUCUCUUAUUUUCAUUUGUCUCAACUCACCAUCGUCUUACAGUGCCCGUGAGUAUUUUCACCGAUAAGACUCUCUCAUUGUUAUCUUCCUCAGCUUACCAUCGUCUUACGGUGCCCGUGAGAGUUUUCACCGAUAAGACUCUCUCCUUGUUAUCUCCCUCAGCCUACCAUCAUCUUACGGUGCCCGUGAGAGUUUUCACUGAUAAGACUCUCUCAUUUUUAUUUCCCUCAGCUUACUAUCAUCUUACGGUGCUCGUGAGGUUUUCAUCGAUAAGAUUCUCUCAUUUUUAUUUCUCUCAACUUAACAUCGUCUUACGGUGCCCGUGAGGGUUUUCACCAAUAAGACUCUCUCAUUUUUAUUUCUCUCCUGAUUCUUUAUGCUGAGGAAGGCAAGUUCUCCGCCAAAUAUGUCAUUAUAUCCAUUGCAUGCUUAGCCUUAAAAUCCUCAAAGAUUGAUCUGAAGGUCUUUCUUUGGUUAUAGCUUUUGGAUAGGGUUAGAAAAAAAUGAUGGCAUGAGGCCCAAACGACGCUUGAAGUGGGAUGGGACUUACAACUUUUGGAAUCAACUCAAAUAAUGAAGAUUAACUCAUGUACAAUUUCUUUUGACUGGCCAAUUCAAAAUUGCUCAUUUGGGUUGACCCAGCCUGAAGUAGGGCAAACUACAUAUCUCACCCCCAGGAGAAGAGAAUCAGUUCACGCGUAGUUUUGACAGCUUGUUCUUUUGCUUAAUUCUGAUUUUUUUUACUUUUGUUUCUUUUAUUGACUUUUUCUUUUGGGACCUUUCUGACUCUAUUUUUCUUGACUAAGACUAAAGCUCAAAUGGGGUAAACAAAGGAUGACACGAUGUUUGGAUAGCAGAAUAAAAUGCCUUCGUCAUAUCAAUCCUUGAAAAUGCAAGUACAUAUCAUGUAAUAUGAAAGUGAGAGAUGAAGAUCAUUUGUGACAUUUUUUAAGCAUUAACUUUAACUAAGUCUGUGCGUCACUACUUUUGCACUUUGUUCAACAUAUCACUCCACUUUUGUUGUACAUUCCUCACAUCGAAUGACUCAUACUUUCGUGGAGUUGAUUUUUCUGUCCCUCAGUAUCACACAUCCGCUAUUUGACCUAAUUGAGAAAUAUUUUUCAAUUGAUGACCAAGUUAUUCUUGUGAUUCUCAAAAUAAUUGCCUUAAUUUUAAAAGAAGGCUUGAACUUGUCAACAAAUGUCUCAGCACACUACCUAUUUUCUCAUAUGCACUCUUUUUCUAACUUUAACCCUCUGAUUCAAUGUUCAUGCUUAAAUUAAAUUUUAAGAUCAGGCUGAAAAUUCCGCUAGCAUGUCAUAUCACUAGAAUUAACCGAAAAUGUACUGUGUAAAGAAAAUAAACAACACAUUUAAAACACAAAAGAAAAAGGGACACUUCAUUUAAUUAAAAUAAAAGAUAUAGAAGGGUUUGAACAUAAUGAAAAAUGGACAAAACAAGAUAGAUCCUGAACUACAACCCUGAAAUAAUUCGGAUAAUAGAAAAUAAAGCAACACAGACUACCAGACCUCUUCCUAGUAGGGAGAGGGGUGACUUCUCAAUUGCUCGACCUGACAUCUUAGCCACUGGUUUAUAUAUCAUCAUGAUUAGAGUUUUCCUCACUGUCAAUGUUCUGCAUCAUAAUCAAUUUGUCUUGAAUCAUCUUUUCAAUUUCUCUUUUCAACGCACUGAAAAUCUUCAAUACUGUGACCCUGAACAUCAGAAUGAUAUACACAUCCUACAUUAGGAUGAAAACUUCUUGAAUGCGGGUCAGGAGUAUACCCAAGAAGAGGAGUGAUCAUGCCUCGCUGUGCCAAUCUCUGAAAUAAACUGGCAUAUGACUCUUCAAUUGGUGUGAAACUAUCCCUCAAUUUCUGCCUCAUUUCAUUGUUUAACUUGGAUCAAACAUCGGGCAUAGAAGGGCUUUGGUAUAUUUGUGGGAUUGGAGGAUGACUUUGAAGAGUUGGUGCGCACCAUUGUGGGUAAGGAGGGAGUUGAACAUAUGGUUGUGCGUAAUAUACUAGAUAUGAAGGUGGGGAAACAGAGUAUAUUGGAUUUUAAGAGUGAUUAUAGAGAGUUUAGGUAUGAACUUGGGCUUGAGACUGACGGCAAUGACGACGUUGUCUUCUUGGAUGUGCCCGUUCUCUAACUACAAUAGCAGUGUCAUCUUUUUCAUUCUUCUUCCCUAUGGAUUCCCUCAAUUGAUUGCAAUAUUGUCCCAAAUGUUUCACGGAUUUCUCAUGCCCAUCUUGCUCCUCAAAUUUCGACAUCUCAAAGAUUGGAGAAAGUUUAGCACUUGAAGGCAUGCCCCAGUCUUUGUAUAAAAUAUCUUCUUUACCCGUAGGUCCUAGAGAAUUUUUCAUAGCAUUUUCUGCACUCUUCAUUUUUCCAACCAUUUUCUCCGACUCUUCUGGCAAACUAAACUUCUUGUUAAGAAAUUUUGGUGGUCCAGUUAACUUAAAAGCAGGCUCAGAAGUAUAACAAUGAUCACCAAAAGUAUUAAAUAUAAGUUCACUAGCAGCAUGGGGACGCACAAUCGUGGGGCGAGCCAGUGCGAAAGUCCCAGUAGAGGAUAGAGAAACAAGAUCGCAAACGACAUGUGGUGUUGCGAAUGUAGCAGGCUUAUGCUGAGGAGCUAUAGGAAAAGUGGUGAAAGUAUUGAGAUGCUUUUGGCUUGGAAUGAAUUCUGAGUCAUGUUGUGGUGCAUCAACAACAGUAGAAAACUGACUUUGAAAUUUUGGUGGAAAACUCGAGGUAUUUGUAGGAUCAAUAAAGGGAAAUGGAGGAGGAGGCAGUCCACUGGCCCAAGCUCGAUACAUUUCUGUCAUUUGUUGUCUUAGCCUCCUAAUCUCUUGCUUCAAACUCUCAUUUUCCUGAUUCUUUGUUUGAUCCAUGAUGUCACUCUCUAUAUCUUGGUUGGACACAACUAACCCUUUGGAUUUGGUGUAAUGUGAAGGACCAGCCAGAAUGCCACAAACCAACCACCUUAAACUGACUCAACAAAAAACAACAAAUGUGUUGGAGUUCAACACUUUUUCAAAACCUCUUUUUCCUUUUUUUUUUUGGAAAAGAUCGACGAACCCAAGAAGGGCGCCUAUGUAUCUCACCCCCUAGAGAGGAGAAUCAGGCGUGCUUAGUUCGUGAAGUCUUGCCAAAAUGGCCAAUUAAACUCUUUUUCCUUUUCUUCUUUUCUUCUUUUUUUUUUUUGAAACUUUGAGAAGAGAAAAUUACAAAUUGUCAAAAGAAUUGAAAAAAAUCUUUUUGAAUUUUUCAACUUUAACAUCUCUAUACAACGUGAAUACUAUGAUUACCAAAGAAAAAUCUUUUUGGAUUUUUGAUUUUGAAUUUCAUAAGGAAGUGAAUCUUGAAACUACCAAAGGAAAAUCUUUUUGUAGUUUUAUUUUAAAAGAUGUAUAUGAAACACCUACUCUAAUAAAAAGUGAAGAAAAUCUUUUUUGUUUUUGAAUUUUUCAAAUAAGAUCCCCGAACCAACAAUAGGCUGCCUACGUUUCUCACUCCCGAGAGAGGAGAAUCAGGGGUGCGUAGUUCGUCCAGAUUGGACAAUAUAGGAUUAAAGAACAAACAAAACCUUGACUUGAGACCUGAAUAAAGACAAACGAGUGAAGAACGUAAAUAAAAUCUUUUUGGGGUUUUUAAUUUUGACACAUGACACCUACAACUAGGAAAGAAAAAUCUUUUUUUUUGAGACAUUUUUGCUAUAUGAAAUGUAUAAAACUUCUACCAUUUUUGAAUUUUCUUUUAUAAAACUCCUAUUAAAAGAAAUCUUUUUCUUUUUUUUUUUGAAAUUUUCAAAUUACGGAAGCUUACUAAAGAAACAAAGAAAAAUCUUUUUGAUGUUUUUAUUUUUGACAAAAUGAGUGUAAAAGGUAAAAAAAAUAAUUUUUUUGAAUUGUGAAAAACAAAAGCCAUAAGGAACACUAAAAACUACGAAACCCAUUUUGACUCACUUCUUCUUCUUUUUUUCAAACAUACCUUACUUCUAACACAUGCUUUCCCUGAAUCAAUCCGUCAAGUAACCACGUUACCCUAAAAAAAUGCAACAUUUAGCAUGUAGGGAUGCUUUAGAGGUAAGUCUCCUACCAAGGACCAAGUGGUCCCCCUAGGUCUCAAUAUGAUGCACGUAAGUAUGACCUAAAGGCUGACCAACGUCGGGGUUCACUAACAAGGCUAUUCGGGGGAGCGUAUGGCCGAUAGUGGCUGCGACAGCUUUCCACCCACUCCAUACGUCCGAUGGCUCCCCCUCCUAAAUUAAGGGUGACUCAACUAGAGUUCGUGUACAUGACAUGCACUCUGAGACUUGCUGCAAAAAGAAUUGUCUCGGGUUAUGCAAAUGAUGUCAGAUAUAAAACGGUAAGACAUAAAGAAAAAUCAUAAACAAGGAGCACGUAGGCACUCAACGAUGAUAAAAUAAACACUAAUUAUAACACAAACAAUGUCUAUACACCCUUAAUGCCAAACUAAGCCGAUACAACUUCAAAAAUAAGCUUGAAUUCUGAAAACGAUUCCCCAUCAGAGUCGCCAAAGAUGUCACACCCCUUUUCAACUCCCAAAAGAAUAGUUUUAAGUUUUUAUUAUUAAAGUGACAAAAAGAUUGAAAAUUUGUUUCGAAAAUGGAUUAUUUACAUUUUUCAUUCAGAGUCGCCACUUGACAUAAAUCGGGUGUGCCAAGUCACCUUUGGAAAUCCUUUUCAAAACAGUUUGACUCUAGAAACUGAUUCGCGAAUAGAGAUUCUAGAUAAGGAAUUUUGUUGACCGAGGGGAAGGUGUUAAGCAUCCCUCGAUCCCGUGGUUCGACCACGGUCGCUUGGUGGAGAGUAUCGACUAAUUUGACAUCACGAAUGUAUAAACCACACAAAAAUACUUAAAACAAUCAAUCAAACACACAAAAAUAAAACAAAUCCAAAAUAUAGUGUUCAGUCCAAUUAUACAGUUCAAAAAUAGAAAAAAUGCAAAAAUAUAAAUCUUAUUCUAAGUUAAUCCUUAAACCACGGUCCAAUGCCUUACCAGAUGCCUCGGGCCUUGAUCACAAGCCUCCUUUGCAUACGUGAUACUUCGGAGCAUUCCUCGGUGAAUAAGUACAAUAUAAUCUCGAGGCAUUCCCAGCGAAUGAAUACAUCUUCAAAUCUUGCGCGAUAAAAUAGAAAGAACUAUUCACAUGCACAUUCAAACAUUCAACAAAACACCAUUCCUCAAAUUUGCCUACCCGACUUAGCAUUUUCCUACUAGAUUCGGUUUAUCACAAUUCCAACAAAUUCAAUAUAAUUGAAGAUCCAAAAAAUUAGCAUGAAUUCACUUCAUCAUGUUUAACCCCUCCCAAAAUUCCUUUUAACACAUGAAAAUAGUUAUCAAGCCAUAUCAACAUCGAUUUCAUACUAACAACUAGCUAUUCAAAUAAACAGCACCAAGUAUCAAUAAAAUUCUCAAUCAGUCAUCGUCAAAUACAUAAUGAUAAUAAGAGAGUAGAGUCGAGAAUUGGACCUCAAAAGUUUUUGAUUAACUUAAAAAGAAAGAGGAGGGCCACUCCGAGAACCUCGACGAACACUAAAAUCUCAACUAUGAAUCAAUUCGAGCACAAAAAUUCCUUGAAAUCCAAUUCGAAAAGAGAACCCAUGAAGGACAGUGAACGAACUCUAACUUGGUAUUGAGAAACGGAGACCCGAAACAGACCACAAUGAACCCACCUAGAUAAACAAUGUUCCCACCACUCCGAUAAGCUCGGACAGCAGCGGAUAUCGAUGAACAAGGCAGAUUCCGAUGAUUUUAACAUUCUCAGGCUGAAUUCAUCUGUGGAAAGCGACAACGACAAGCACAGCCCGUUCCGAAAAACUUUAGUCUGUUUUGACGUUCUCCGGCGACAAACUGACGCGACCUCUACCUCUCCUUUCGAUUCUCACCUCUAUCUCUCACUCAAUUUCACCCUCUCUUCCCCUUCGAUUCUCCAAUCUCUCUCAAAUCUGUGUGUUUUAGGUGUGUGUAUAUCAGUGUCCUGUGAGAAAGAAAAAAUGAAGUCUCUGGUAGCGUGUGUACCAGUGAAGAUGAUCGUGUGAGUAUGAAAAUGGAGGGUGUGUAUGUGAUGUGCGUGAUUUGGUUGUGUGCCUAAGAUGAUGAAGAAACAGCCAAAAAGAAAAUCAGCAAGAAAAACCCGAUCCCCCCUAUAUCCGUGCACUGUGUGUAUAUAAAUACCCAAAAGGAAAAUGUUUUUUCUCUUAGUGGUAGGGCCCCCCUUCCCUUUUUUUUGUAUGUGUAUAUCAAUGGAAAGUGAGGUGUGUGAGUGAAGGGAAAUCAGUCCCCC
RNAcentral lists this long non-coding RNA (8714 nucleotides) under Capsicum annuum. Its description in RNAcentral is "long non-coding RNA (CANN_LNC018304)". The record is from RNAcentral. Lineage: Eukaryota; Viridiplantae; Streptophyta; Magnoliopsida; Solanales; Solanaceae.